CACUGUGAGGUGGAAUCUGAAGGAAGUCUAAGGCAAAGUGCUGCAUCGAUGAACAAGAAGUAGCUAUAAGGCUGAAAUUAACUGGAUAAGGUUGCUAGACAAGUUGAAGUCCAAUACUACUCGAAGUUGGUCUCAGUAAAGCUAACGAUGACAUGGUACGAAAGCUAAU
RNAcentral lists this non-coding RNA (169 nucleotides) under Limosilactobacillus reuteri. The record is from RNAcentral. Lineage: Bacteria; Bacillati; Bacillota; Bacilli; Lactobacillales; Lactobacillaceae.